This 466-nucleotide ribosomal RNA is filed under the name uncultured bacterium. RNAcentral describes it as "partial 16S ribosomal RNA". It matches the Rfam family "Bacterial small subunit ribosomal RNA", at positions 28 to 507 of the family's 1533-position model. The record is from RNAcentral.
GAUGAACGCUGGCGGCGUGCUUAACACAUGCAAGUCGAACGAUGAAGCCCAGCUUGCUGGGUGGUUUAGUGGCGAACGGGUGAGUAACACGUGAGUAACCUGCCCUUGACUCUGGGAUAAGCCUGGGAAACUGGGUCUAAUACUGGAUAUGACUUCUCAUCGCAUGGUGGGGGGUGGAAAGAUUUAUUGGUCUUGGAUGGACUCGCGGCCUAUCAGCUUGUUGGUGAGGUAAUGGCUCACCAAGGCGACGACGGGUAGCCGGCCUGGGAGGGUGACCGGCCACACUGGGACUGAGACACGGCCCAGACUCCUACGGGAGGCAGCAGUGGGGAGUAUUGCACAAUGGGCGCAAGCCUGAUGCAGCGGCGCCGCGUGAGGGAUGACGGCCUUCGGGUUGUAAACCUCUUUCAGUAGGGAAGAAGCGAGAGUGACGGUACCUGCAGAAGAAGCGCCGGCUAACUACGUG